GACUUCUAAGAGCCUUGAGGCUAGGCAUAGGUUGCCAUGAUGCUUAUAAGCAAUUAUUUCUGCAGUGUUCUUAUGAUGAUAGGAUGUUUGUCCACGUGUCGGGGCAGUGGAUGAAUUGAGGGAGGUUUACUCAGCGUGUAAUCAAGGGAUUCAACAUCUUAUUUACGAUAGUGGAAAUGGUCAGAUGUGGGGUAGUGAAUGUAAUGAGACUUGGCAUUUGCUAGCGUGGUGGAGCUUUCUUAUAUGAUGGGGUGUCGUGGUCCUAUUGGAACAUACCAAGUUCGUUGAUGUUAUAAUCUGCUUCAAUUCGCCUUUAUGGCAGGAUAUUGUGAAAAUAGUAUUGGAGAUACGACUGCCAGUUGUCGCAUGGUGCGGUGGUUCAAGAUUGAAUAUGAAUUUCUAAUGUUAACAGAUCGAUAAAGAUGACAUUUAGAAAGUCUUAAAGAUUAGCAGCUAUUGUGGGUUCAAGUUCCAUGAAGAUAGGUUUUAUUUAAGGUAACAAUUGAGCAGCAGAGUAUGAGGAAAGACAUCUGGGAAGUGUCAGGCGGUGUUUAAAUUUCUAGGAGGCCAAGUAUGAGAAGCAAGGUCGAGUGACUGAUUAAGGAGAUGAGUUCCGCCAAAGUGGGAGAGUAGCAGGUGUUGCAUACGGGCUUGGUAGUAGGAUGACUACGCACCUUAAGGAGAGUUUGGAUUGAAUUGGGGAUUUUAAGGAUUUGUGAUUGAAGCCUGCGGGUAUGAUGUGAAGUAUGGGAUAUUGGUGUCACAGCGAAUGUACCUCGUGCAACUACGUGGGAAAAUGUUGGGAGGUGAUUCGCCUAGGUGGUUUAUUCCCCAUGAGCAGUUUAGACGUCGCAUGAUUAGCGAAGCUUCUGCAAAGAAUUAUAUUGGUUGUUCAACAAAGAGAUCAAUUGUGUGAAUGUGGAUAUGAUUCAGAAAAGAAAAGAUGGGGAUUUACAGGAAGAUUCCGAGAAAUUUUGAUAGUUUAUGGCGCGAGGUUAUGUCAAUAAGAGGUUGGGCGAACUCUAGAAUUGUGAAAUUAUGGCUUAAAGUAAAGUGGGAGAGCCCCACCACUUAUGAUUGGGCUGUAUAGUUUACUCUUUGCGUUAUUUCUGGUUAUUAGCAUAUUGAUGGGUUAUUUAAGCUAUGAGAAAAGAUCGUAUGUGGUAAUUCGAGCAAAUGAAUUAUUGGAGGCAUGCUAUGGUUGGCCUUAUUGGCUCAUAUUCGGACUAGGAAAAAGGUCCAGAAUUUAUGCCUCGUGUAGAUGCAGGUUUCAGAGGAAGUGAUUUCGUCGGGUGCUUCGUGGAGAGAGUGUUCGUGUGUUAUAAGAUCUAUAGACUGAGUUAUAUUCGGGACCAAAACAGAGCGGGCCGCUCUCAAUAAUGGUUCCAGUGAAUUCAGGAGUUUAAGUGUGGUGCUCAAUAAUUUCGAGCCUAUGGGUAUAGUUAAGAAUCAAGGUUUGUAGCAGCUUAUGAGAAGGUGCCCAAAAUGUUCUAUGAUAUUUUGACUUGUGAUGUAGCAUUUGAGUGAUAUGAAAUAGUUCGUGGGAAUUUAGUGUUGAAACACGUUCUCAAUACAUACUAAACGUGUGUUCAUAUUUGUAGGUUUUGAUAAA
RNAcentral lists this long non-coding RNA (1612 nucleotides) under Nicotiana benthamiana. RNAcentral describes it as "long non-coding RNA (NBEN_LNC028234)". Lineage: Eukaryota; Viridiplantae; Streptophyta; Magnoliopsida; Solanales; Solanaceae. The record is from RNAcentral.